Non-coding RNA from Phthorimaea operculella (potato tuberworm), 78 nucleotides. The record is from the annotation of a GenBank genome assembly. Lineage: Eukaryota; Metazoa; Arthropoda; Insecta; Lepidoptera; Gelechiidae.
ACCGCGGUAGCCCAGUUGGUUAGGGCAUCGGCAGUACUGAUGCCGAGAAGGUCGCAGGUUCAAAUCCUGCCUGCGGUG